GCGGCUUUAGCUCAGCUGGAAGAGCAAUUGGUUUACACCCAAUAGGUCGGGGGUUCGAUCCCCUCAGGCCGCACAA
This 76-nucleotide transfer RNA is filed under the name Corynebacterium camporealensis. RNAcentral describes it as "tRNA-Val". It matches the Rfam family "tRNA". From Rfam's summary of the family: Transfer RNA (tRNA) molecules are approximately 80 nucleotides in length. Their secondary structure includes four short double-helical elements and three loops (D, anti-codon, and T loops). RNAcentral also lists the same sequence under 7 other names. Lineage: Bacteria; Bacillati; Actinomycetota; Actinomycetes; Mycobacteriales; Corynebacteriaceae. The record is from RNAcentral.